UACGGAGGGAGCUAGCGUUGUUCGGAAUUACUGGGCGUAAAGCGCACGUAGGCGGCUUUGUAAGUUAGAGGUGAAAGCCCGGGGCUCAACUCCGGAACUGUCUUUAAGACUGCAUCGCUUGAAUCCAGGAGAGGUGAGUGGAAUUCCGAGUGUAGAGGUGAAAUUCGUAGAUAUUCGGAAGAACACCAGUGGCGAAGGCGGCUCACUGGACUGGUAUUGACGCUGAGGUGCGAAAGCGUGGGGAGCAAACAGG
Molecule: ribosomal RNA, 253 nt
Filed under: uncultured bacterium
Lineage: Bacteria
Description: partial 16S ribosomal RNA
Rfam family: Bacterial small subunit ribosomal RNA
Source: RNAcentral